AUUGAACGCUGGCGGAAUGCUUUACACAUGCAAGUCGAACGGUAGAGGGGGCAACCCCUUGAGAGUGGCGAACGGGUGAGUAAUAUAUCGGAACGUGCCCAGUCGUGGGGAUAACGUAGCGAAAGUUACGCUAAUACCGCAUACGAUCUAAGGAUGAAAGCGGGGGAUCGCAAGACCUCGCGCGAUUGGAGCGGCCGAUAUCAGAUUAGGUAGUUGGUGAGGUAAUGGCUCACCAAGGCGACGAUCCGUAACUGGUCUGAGAGGAUGAUCAGUCACACUGGAACUGAGACACGGUCCAGACUCCUACGGGAGGCAGCAGUGGGGAAUAUUGGACAAUGGGCGAAAGCCUGAUCCAGCCAUGCCGCGUGCAGGAUGAAGGCC
This 381-nucleotide ribosomal RNA is filed under the name uncultured bacterium. RNAcentral describes it as "bacterial SSU rRNA". It matches the Rfam family "Bacterial small subunit ribosomal RNA", at positions 30 to 416 of the family's 1533-position model. The record is from RNAcentral.